CCUACGGGAGGCUGCAGUGAGGAAUAUUGGUCAAUGGGCGAGAGCCUGAACCAGCCAAGUCGCGUGAAGGAUGAAGGAUCUAUGGUUUUUAAACUUCUUUUAUAUGGGAAUAAAGUGAGGAACGUGUUCCAUUUUGUAUGUACCAUAUGAAUAAGCAUCGGCUAACUCCGUGCCAGCAGCCGCGGUAAUACGGAGGAUGCGAGCGUUAUCCGGAUGGAUUGGGUUUAAAGGAUGCGUAGGUGGUUAAUUAAGUCAGCUGUUAAAGUUAGUGGCUUAACCAUAAGAUUGCCGUUGAAACUGGUUGACUAGAGUAAAGUUGAGGUAGGCGGAAUGCGUGGUGUAGCGGUGAAAUGCAUAGAUAUCACGCAGAACACCGAUUGCGAAGGCAGCUUACUAAACUAUAACUGACACUGAGGCACGAAAGCGUGGGGAUCAAACAGGAUUAGAUACCCCAGUAGUC
RNAcentral lists this ribosomal RNA (460 nucleotides) under uncultured bacterium. Its description in RNAcentral is "partial 16S ribosomal RNA". It matches the Rfam family "Bacterial small subunit ribosomal RNA", at positions 338 to 795 of the family's 1533-position model. The record is from RNAcentral.